GCCGGUAUGGUCUAGGGGUGAAGACACGUUUUUAGUAAGAGCGGAACCAAGGUUCGAGUCCUUGUACCGGCU
RNAcentral lists this transfer RNA (72 nucleotides) under bacterium. Its description in RNAcentral is "tRNA-Thr". It matches the Rfam family "tRNA". From Rfam's summary of the family: Transfer RNA (tRNA) molecules are approximately 80 nucleotides in length. Their secondary structure includes four short double-helical elements and three loops (D, anti-codon, and T loops). The record is from RNAcentral.